UCCCCUGUAGCACAAACGGUAGUUGCGCGCGGCUGUUAACCGCGAUGUUGUUGGUUCGAGUCCAGCCAGGGGAG
Molecule: transfer RNA, 74 nt
Filed under: Spirochaetota bacterium
Lineage: Bacteria; Pseudomonadati; Spirochaetota
Description: Spirochaetes bacterium tRNA-Asn
Rfam family: tRNA
About the family: Transfer RNA (tRNA) molecules are approximately 80 nucleotides in length.
Source: RNAcentral